GGCUUGUUGAUAAUAAUUUCAAGUCCGACCUGCCCCCUGAGUAUUUAAAUGGCCGCAGUAUAUUGACUGUGCAAAGGUAGCAUAAUCGUUAGUUUCUUAAUUAGAAGCUUGUAUGAAAGGUUAAAUGAGAGAAUGACUGUCUCUAAAAAAGUUUAUUAAAAUUUUAUUUUUAAGUGAAAAAGCUUAAAUUUUUAUAGAAGACGAGAAGACCCUAUAGAGUUUAAUGGGUAAUAUAGAAGUGGGAUUUUUGGAUAAAAUAUCUAUUAUUAUAUAGUCUGUUUUGUUGGGGUGAUAGGAAAAUUAGUUUAACUUUUCUUUUAUUAUUAUACAAAUGAGUAGGUUUUUGAUCCUAUUUUUUAGAUUAUAAGAAAAAAUUACCUUAGGGAUAACAGCGUAAUUAUUUUUAGAGUUCUUAUCGAAAAUAUAGAUUGCGACCUCGAUGUUGGAUUAAAAUUUAACUGUUGGUGUAGAAGCUAGCGUGUAGGGUCUGUUCGACCUAUAAAAUUUUACAUGAUCUGAGUUUAAACCGGUGUAAG
This 536-nucleotide ribosomal RNA is filed under the name Trigonopterus sp. 658 AR-2022a. Its description in RNAcentral is "partial large subunit ribosomal RNA". It matches the Rfam family "Bacterial large subunit ribosomal RNA", at positions 1819 to 2625 of the family's 2925-position model. Lineage: Eukaryota; Metazoa; Arthropoda; Insecta; Coleoptera; Curculionidae. The record is from RNAcentral.